This is a long non-coding RNA of Helianthus annuus (common sunflower), 290 nucleotides long. RefSeq lists it as uncharacterized. The record is from RefSeq and is a predicted model, not a curated record. NCBI's taxonomy places the organism in Eukaryota, Viridiplantae, Streptophyta, Magnoliopsida, Asterales, Asteraceae. The transcript is spliced from 4 exons.
UGACGAUGUUGCUGAUGAGCUCAAAGCAAGACUCCCCAACAAAUAAUCAUGACAACUGUAAGGAAUAGCAACUUGAAUCCAGUUUGGAAUGAAGAGCUUAUGCUUUCUGUUCCUCAGAAUUACAAGCCUGUUAAAGUGAUGACAACAGCCAUAGCCAUUGGAGAUGUUACACAGGAGGUUAAGAUAUUGCUCUGGUAUAAUUGUAUUUUCGCUUAACGGGUCGUGCCUUGACCAGAUUUGUCGUGUUGAAGACAUAGAGCAAUGAGUGUCAUCGUCAGCACAGAAGGUAU